UGGGGAAUAUUGGACAAUGGGGGGAACCCUGAUCCAGCCAUGCCGCGUGUGUGAAGAAGGCCUUAUGGUUGUAAAGCACUUUAAGCGAGGAGGAGGGUACUGGUAUUAAUACUACCAGCUACUGGACGUUACUCGCAGAAUAAGCACCGGCUAACUCUGUGCCAGCAGCCGCGGUAAUACAGAGGGUGCGAGCGUUAAUCGGAUUUACUGGGCGUAAAGCGUGCGUAGGCGGCUAAUUGAGUCGGAUGUGAAAUCCCCGAGCUUAACUUGGGAAUUGCAUUCGAUACUGGUUAGCUAGAGUGUGGGAGAGGAUGGUAGAAUGCCAGGUGUAGCGGUGAAAUGCGUAGAGAUCUGGAGGAAUACCGAUGGCGAAGGCAGCCAUCUGGCCUAACACUGACGCUGAGGUACGAAAGCAUGGGGAGCAAACAGG
RNAcentral lists this ribosomal RNA (430 nucleotides) under Pseudomonadota bacterium. RNAcentral describes it as "Proteobacteria bacterium partial 16S ribosomal RNA". It matches the Rfam family "Bacterial small subunit ribosomal RNA", at positions 355 to 776 of the family's 1533-position model. Lineage: Bacteria; Pseudomonadati; Pseudomonadota. The record is from RNAcentral. RNAcentral also lists the same sequence under 1 other name.